UACGUAGGCAGCAAGCGUUGUUCGGAGUUACUGGGCGUAAAGGGUGUGUAGGCGGUUGCUUAAGUUUGGUGUGAAAUCUCCCGGCUCAACUGGGAGGGUGCGCCGAAUACUGAGUGGCUCGAGUGCGGGAGAGGAAAGUGGAAUUCCUGGUGUAGCGGUGAAAUGCGUAGAUAUCAGGAGGAACACCGGUGGUGUAGACGGCUUUCUGGACCGUAACUGACGCUGAGACACGAAAGCGUGGGUAGCAAACAGG
This 253-nucleotide ribosomal RNA is filed under the name uncultured bacterium. RNAcentral describes it as "partial 16S ribosomal RNA". It matches the Rfam family "Bacterial small subunit ribosomal RNA", at positions 524 to 776 of the family's 1533-position model. The record is from RNAcentral.